Molecule: ribosomal RNA, 829 nt
Filed under: uncultured archaeon
Lineage: Archaea
Description: bacterial SSU rRNA
Rfam family: Archaeal small subunit ribosomal RNA
Source: RNAcentral
UGACUAAGCCAUGCAAGUCGAGAGGGUUCGGCCCUCGGCGUACUGCUCAGUAACACGUGGAUAACCUGCCCUAGGGGAGGGGAUAACCCCGGGAAACUGGGGAUAAUACCCUAUAGGUUACAGAUGCUGGAAUGCCCUGUAACCAAAAGCUCCGGCGCCCUAGGAUGGAUCUGCGGCCGAUUAGGUUGUUGUUGGGGUAACGGCCCAACAAGCCCGUAAUCGGUACGGGUUGUGGGAGCAAGAGCCCGGAGUUGGAUUCUGAGACACGAAUCCAGGCCCUACGGGGCGCAGCAGGCGCGAAACCUUUACAAUGCGGGCAACCGUGAUAAGGGAACCUCGAGUGCCUGUAAACGCAGGCUGUUCAGGUGUUUAAAACGCACCUGGAGAAAGGGCCGGGCAAGACCGGUGCCAGCCGCCGCGGUAAUACCGGCGGCUCGAGUGGUGGCCGCUUUUAUUGGGCUUAAAGCGUUCGUAGCUGGGUUGUUAAGUCUCUUGGGAAAUCUGGCGGCUUAACCGUCAGGCGUCUAAGGGAUACUGGCAAUCUUGGAACCGGGAGAGGUGAGGGGUACUUCGGGGGUAGGGGUGAAAUCCUGUAAUCCUCGAGGGACCACCUGUGGCGAAGGCGCCUCACCAGAACGGCUUCGACAGUGAGGGACGAAAGCUGGGGGAGCAAACCGGAUUAGAUACCCGGGUAGUCCCAGCCGUAAACGAUGCGCGUUAGGUGUAUCGGUGACCACGAGUUACCGAGGUGCCGAAGGGAAACCGUGAAACGCGCCGCCUGGGAAGUACGGUCGCAAGACUGAAACUUAAAGGAAUUGGCGGGGGAGCA